RNAcentral lists this long non-coding RNA (880 nucleotides) under Panax ginseng (ginseng). Its description in RNAcentral is "long non-coding RNA (PGIN_LNC007614)". The record is from RNAcentral. Lineage: Eukaryota; Viridiplantae; Streptophyta; Magnoliopsida; Apiales; Araliaceae.
ACUUGUUCUAUUCAUUCAGCUAGUCGUCACACAAUAAUGACACUAGAAUCCACAGGAUUCUUUGAAUAGACCUUAUCUAUCACCAAGAUGACAACAAUCUCUCUGUGAAUACAACACGUUGAGCCACUUUAUUCACUAGACCAGAAAUCACACGUUAAUUAAGAGCAUCAAGAGGCACUUGCACGAGUUUUUUUGAUCUUCCACGGAGCAGAAGCUGAAGGUUUCUAGAUCUGCAAACCUGCCACUAGGUAAUUGUGCCACUAAACCUGAUUAUGGAGAUAAAUUGCCCUGGCAGAGAUCAUACAGGUACUUCAAUCCCCCUAGCAGCCAGUGGGUUUCCACAGAAAGGUGCUUGGCGAUUAAUAUCUACCUAUUAAGAACUUCUUAUAAAAGUUUGUUUAUCAACUCUAAGAAUAAUUAUAUGAUUUAUGACUAUAUAUUUGUCACAACAAACUAUGGACAGAAAUCAACGAAGAAAAAUAAAUGACAAGAACACAAGAUUUAUGUAAAAACCCAAUCGAAAAUAAACUACGGGCGGGAGGCAGAUGAUAUUCAUGUGGAGAAUACAAACUGUGAAGAGAUCACACCCCAAAACACCUAAUAGACCCAACUGUUUGCCUCACUAACACCUUUUUGUAAGUUUUUGGGGUAAGGAAUGCUAAGGAUUUUUAAGUAUGGAAAUGAUAGGAUAGGAAAGGACAUGAAAUUUACUUUCCUUAGUUCUGUUUGUAAGUUUACUAUGACAGGGUUAUAAAAUCCAUCUAAUCCAUCUCAAAGACAAAUUGGCCUGGGACUAAAACUUGUUUUUUAAGCAAAAACAAUUCGGUUAAACCGAACAAUGAAAUCCAUCAAAUUUAGCUAAACCCGAAUAACCUAUUUU